CGCGGGGUGGAGUAGAGGUAGCUCAUCGGGCUCAUAAUUCGAAGGUCACAGGUUCGAAUCCUGUCCCCGCUA
This 72-nucleotide transfer RNA is filed under the name Candidatus Uzinura diaspidicola str. ASNER. Its description in RNAcentral is "tRNA-fMet (CAT) (tRNA-fMet-CAT-1-1)". It matches the Rfam family "tRNA". Rfam says of the family: Transfer RNA (tRNA) molecules are approximately 80 nucleotides in length. Their secondary structure includes four short double-helical elements and three loops (D, anti-codon, and T loops). Further hydrogen bonds mediate the characteristic L-shaped molecular structure. tRNAs have two regions of fundamental functional importance: the anti-codon, which is responsible for specific mRNA codon recognition, and the 3' end, to which the tRNAs corresponding amino acid is attached (by aminoacyl-tRNA synthetases). tRNAs cope with the degeneracy of the genetic code in two manners: having more than one tRNA (with a specific anti-codon) for a particular amino acid; and 'wobble' base-pairing, i.e. permitting non-standard base-pairing at the 3rd anti-codon position. Lineage: Bacteria; Pseudomonadati; Bacteroidota; Flavobacteriia; Flavobacteriales. The record is from Rfam by way of RNAcentral.